UAAGAUUCCUUUUCAAUGGGCUUUGGUGU
This 29-nucleotide non-coding RNA is filed under the name Rattus norvegicus (Norway rat). The record is from RNAcentral. Lineage: Eukaryota; Metazoa; Chordata; Mammalia; Rodentia; Muridae.